UGAGUUGAUGGAGUGGUUUAAGCUCUUGGCUUCUCCAAGUAAGGUCAUGAGUUCGAAUCAUGGGAUGUGCAUGUGUGAUAAUUAGCAAAAAGAAAGAAAGAAAAGAAAAGAAACAUAAUAGUGUGUGUGGAGAAUUAUAAAAAAUCUUAAAUUUGAGACCAAAUGUGGUUAGAACCAUAUUUUGUGAGAAAUGUGAGACUAAAAACCAAACCAAAUCCAUUUUUCUAAAUGUGAUUUCAAAUGGAUCCAAAUUCACAAUUUU
This 262-nucleotide long non-coding RNA is filed under the name Daucus carota (carrot). Its description in RNAcentral is "long non-coding RNA (DCAR_LNC002553)". The record is from RNAcentral. Lineage: Eukaryota; Viridiplantae; Streptophyta; Magnoliopsida; Apiales; Apiaceae.